RNAcentral lists this long non-coding RNA (1212 nucleotides) under Oryctolagus cuniculus (rabbit). RNAcentral describes it as "lncRNA (ENSOCUG00000036965.1)". The record is from RNAcentral. Lineage: Eukaryota; Metazoa; Chordata; Mammalia; Lagomorpha; Leporidae.
AUGGAACACAGCGCCUGUCUGGCAGGCGGAUGUUCCCAGCAGCCUUCUCUGGCUUCUGGGGCUCAGCACAGCACACGGUGCCUCACAACCCCAGGGCCGGCGGCUGGGAUGCUUACCACCCACCCUGGCCAGCUCCUAGCCCAGCUGCUGAGCACGGAGCAGGCAAGAGGGCGCCUCUUCUUCCUCCCCCGCCCCUCCCCCAGGGCCCCUCCAGACCUCACUGUCCCAUCUAAACAGCAGUCCCUGGACUUUGCCCACUGUCACUGCGUGGGGACACACCCAGAGUCCCAGCAGCCGCCCGCCCUUGCAGGCCCUCUGAGGGCAGCACCUGUCCAUUCCGCAAAUGCAAUCCCGGCUUCGGUGGCAACGCCCUCUGCCCCUGAGGACUCGGCUUCACACGCACCUGCAGGGCAGCUAUGCUGUCCCCAUUUCACAGACGGGGAAACUGAGGUCUACCACAGGGCGGAGGCACAGGGUCCAGGCUGGCUUUUCCUGCCACCAGAGUGGCUGAAAGAAGCCUGUUCCACAAGCCCAGGCAGCGCGGUACCCGCGGGCAGAGCCGGGUCUCCCGCCAAGGGGACGGGGGUGUGCCUCCGCGGGGUCCCCGCCCACCACCCCGAGUCCCUGCGUCUCGGGCCCUGUGACCCGGGCGCACAUCCCCGCGCCUCACGGCCAACCCUCGGCCGCCCACCGCCCAGCCCGCGCGGGACUUCCCCGCCGCCGGCCGGCCCCAUGCACGGUCACCCGCGCGCGCACUGCGCCCGGGGUCCAGCCCGCGCGUCCCCGCCAGCGGCCCGGAUGCCCGCUGUCCCCGCCCGCUCGCUGCCCGCACCUCCGCUCCCGACCUCCUCCGGGGGGCUGCGCCCACAGCCGCCCGCAGCCGCCCCGGCGCCAGGCGUCCUUCCAGGCUGCGCCUCACUCACCGGCUCCCGGCGCGCCCGAGCUCCGGGCCCGGCCCAUGGGCAGUGCCCGCUGCGCCCGCUGCCAGCCGCGGCGCCGCGGACCCGGGGCGCUGCCCGCGCCCGCCGCCCGCCGCCGGUGCGCUGGCGGCCGGCCCCUGAGGAGCGCGGUGCGGCGCCCCCUCGCGGCCGCACAGGGGAGCGCAGGGCGGGAGGGGCGCGGGGUGGAGCCGCGCAGCCCUCUCCCCGCUGCCCAGCCCGCGCCUCCCGACGCCUCGCUGCCUUGCCCUUCGGGCCCCUGCACUGCUCCUAG